Tachysurus fulvidraco (yellow catfish) is the source of this 308-nucleotide long non-coding RNA. RefSeq lists it as uncharacterized. The record is from RefSeq and is a predicted model, not a curated record. NCBI's taxonomy places the organism in Eukaryota, Metazoa, Chordata, Actinopteri, Siluriformes, Bagridae. The transcript is spliced from 3 exons.
AGCAGAAGGUGAGAAAAAGAAGAACAGAAGGAAGCAUUAACAAACUCACAACACACGACCUGGGAACUUUUCUACUAUUCGCUACACCACUAAAGUCCAUGUGAAACAUUCCAGACAUGAGUCAUAAAUGGUGUUUUGUUAUCCUGGUCUUCUCAGUAAUAUGUGGUACAGGAGCAUAUAUUCCUCAUCGCUAUCACUUUGUGAAUGAGAAUAAAACCUGGACUGAAGCUCAGACUUACUGUAGAAAGAAUUACACUGAUCUGGCAACCAUCAGCAACAUGGGAGAGAUGAAGAAGCUGAAUCACACA